RNAcentral lists this ribosomal RNA (253 nucleotides) under uncultured bacterium. RNAcentral's name for it is "partial 16S ribosomal RNA". It matches the Rfam family "Bacterial small subunit ribosomal RNA", at positions 524 to 776 of the family's 1533-position model. The record is from RNAcentral.
UACGGAGGGUGCGAGCGUUAAUCGGAAUUACUGGGCGUAAGGCGCGCGUAGGCGGUUUGUUAAGUCGGAUGUGAAAGCCCCGGGCUCAACCUGGGAACUGCACCCGAUACUGGCCGACUUGAGUGCGAGAGAGGGAGGCAGAAUUCCAUGUGUAGCGGUGAAAUGCGUAGAUAUAUGGGGGAAUACCGGUGGCGAAGGCGGCCUCCUGGCUCGACACUGACGCUGAGGUGCGAAAGCGUGGGUAGCAAACAGG